GACGAACGCUGGCGGCGUGCUUAACACAUGCAAGUCGAACGAUGAAGCAGAGAAACGCGCACUUCGGUUCAAAUUUCACUUCGGAUUAGUGGCAGACGGGUGAGUAACGCGUUAGCAACCUACCUCUUACAAAGGGAUAGCCUCGGGAAACCGUGAUUAAUACCAUAUGACACAUUCAUAAGGCAUCUUAAGAAUGUUAAAGCUACGGCGGUAAGAGAUGGGCUCGCGUCCCAUUAGCUAGUUGGUGAGGUAACGGCCCACCAAGGCGACGAUGGGUAACCGGCCUGAGAGGGUGAACGGUCACAUUGGAACUGAGACACGGUCCAAACUCCUACGGGAGGCAGCAGUGGGGAAUAUUGCACAAUGGAGGGAACUCUGAUGCAGCGACGCCGCGUGAGCGAUGAAGGAAUUCGUUUCGUAAAGCUCUGUUCUAUGGGAAGAAAAGGACUGUACCAUAGGAGAAAGCCCCGGCUAAAUACGU
Molecule: ribosomal RNA, 481 nt
Filed under: uncultured bacterium
Lineage: Bacteria
Description: partial 16S ribosomal RNA
Rfam family: Bacterial small subunit ribosomal RNA
Source: RNAcentral